RNAcentral lists this non-coding RNA (69 nucleotides) under Staphylococcus pasteuri. RNAcentral's name for it is "S. aureus tsr31 small RNA". It matches the Rfam family "S. aureus tsr31 small RNA". The record is from RNAcentral. RNAcentral also lists the same sequence under 1 other name. Lineage: Bacteria; Bacillati; Bacillota; Bacilli; Caryophanales; Staphylococcaceae.
UCCUUUAAAUAGGACACGUGUAUAAAUGUAAUACGCUCCCCUUACUGAUAUGUGAGAGGGAGCUUUUUU